Long non-coding RNA from Rattus norvegicus (Norway rat), 1307 nucleotides. RefSeq lists it as uncharacterized. The record is from RefSeq and is a predicted model, not a curated record. NCBI's taxonomy places the organism in Eukaryota, Metazoa, Chordata, Mammalia, Rodentia, Muridae.
CUUGCUCAUUUCAUAACUCAAGAGCACAGGCUGCUGAGAAAGGCCCACGGGAAGACAGUUAUGGCCCAAGUGAAAAGGAAGCAGGAGAGGCAGGAACUAUUCAAAGGGCCCAGGGAGCCUGAAGGCCACCCACUCCACCACUCCACAGCAUUUCCUGCUUCGCUUGCCCACUGCUGCUAUGAAACUCCACUGAGAAGAAGAGCCAUCUCUCCUCCUCCUCUGGGCAGCUGCUAAGCCCUGAGGAUUCUGUGGUCUGCAAUACACGCCAGCCGCCACUCAGUACAGAUGUGACUACAUGCACCGUCUCCUGGAAACCUGGGGCUGAACCUUUCUGUUGAGUUGGAAGAUGCCACGAUUGUGAGGGGAACAAACACUGACAAGUCCAUGACACACAAUUCUGGAAUUGCCUUCCUGGUGCCUUAGACGAAAGCACGUACAAGCUCAGGGCUCUGUAUGCUGAGUGACAGGGCACCAUGAAGGAACACAGGGAGAGACAUGCUAGCUGCUUCCAGACCCACUCAGACAGCUGAAGGAAGGGAAGGGAAGGAAACGGCCCUUGGUGUUUUCAGUCCUCAAGGUGGAGAACCAGGGGAUUUCUGAUGAUCUCAGAGGGCUUGCUGUCCUUGUGGCUGUCCGCCAGUGCCUCCUACCAGCUCAGGACCGCUGAAGCACAGCUAGGGCAGACUGAAGCAUUACCUCCGUGUAACGUUGGAGCGAGUAAAAUAUGUUUCACUAUUCUCAAUGGACUUUUAGCUACACAUUGUUUUUGUCUUUUUAUUCUUUAGCAAAUGCUGUGGGUGGGUUUGGGACUAUGGCAAAAAUAACACUGAGUGACUUUCAAAGCUGGGGGCUUUUCCUGGACACUGGGUUGGAGCCCUGUGCUGCCUUGUAAGCAGUCCUGUUGUCCCUCAGCUGAUUCAUGAGGAGAAGCAGCCUAGAGAAGCCUUGAGAUGAGGUCAAGAAUCCCUGCUGGCCUCAUGCUAUCCUAAGUGUGGAGGACUUGUGUUGGUAGGAGUGUCCUAAGCCCCAUGAAGUCCCUAUUUCACCGUCACCUAAUUGUAACUUCUGAGAAAACCCAAAGCCCAAUUCAGCCCUCCCCAGAUUCCUGUUGCAGAGACACAGGAGAAACAAACAACACACAGGGAGUUGCGGGGUUUAAGGCGCUAUGCUUCGGGCACAGGGUAUGUAGGAGAGUGAGCCACCAACUAGUUGCUCCAUUGUGGCCAGAGAGCAGAAGAGGCCAAUGGUCACAAAAGACCAGACUCAAGAACUUUUGGAUUAGUCAAAGAACAGAACUCCCAACUUCU